RNAcentral lists this ribosomal RNA (484 nucleotides) under uncultured bacterium. Its description in RNAcentral is "partial 16S ribosomal RNA". It matches the Rfam family "Bacterial small subunit ribosomal RNA", at positions 30 to 507 of the family's 1533-position model. The record is from RNAcentral.
AUUGAACGCUGGCGGCAGGCCUAACACAUGCAAGUCGAGCGGUAGAAGGGAGCAUGCUCCUGGUUUCAUCGGCGGACGCGUGAGUAUUGCCUAUGACUCUGCCUGGUAGUGGGGGAUAACGUUAGCAAAUGGGCGCUAAUACCGCAUACGUAUUGCGUGACAAAGCGGAGGAUGUUCGGCUCUCACGCUCUCACCUGAGCCUAUGUCGGAUUAGCUAGUUGGUGGGGUAAAGGCCUACCCAGGCGACGAUCCGUAACUGGUCUGAGAGGAUGAUCAGUCACACCGGAACUGAGACACGGUCCAGACUCCUACGGGAGGCAGCAGCGGGGAAUAUUGGACAAAGGGCGAAAGCCUGAUCCAGCCAUGCCGCGUGUGUGAAGAAGGUCUUCGGAUUGUAAAGCACUUUAAGUUGGGAGGAAGGGCAGUAAGUUAAUACCUUGCUGUAUUGACGUUACCAACAGAAUAAGCACCGGCUAACUUCGUG